UUAAUACUCCAUAGUUUCUAUCUUUCGCAUGUUAGAUAGAAUAAAGUUCCGGCGGUAAAAGAUGGGCAUGCGUUCCAUUAGCUAGUUGGUGAGGUAACGGCUCACCAAGGCAACGAUGGAUAUGGGGUCUAAAAGGAUGGUCCCACACACUGGUACUGAGACACGGACCAGACUCCUACGGGAGGCAGCAGUGAGGAAUAUUGGUCAAUGGGCGGAAGCCUGAACCAGCCAUCCCGCGUGCAGGAUGACAGCCCUAGAGGUUGUAAACUGCUUUUGUAUAGGAAGAAUAAGGAUUACGUGUAAUCCGAUGACUGUACUAUACGAAUAAGCACCGGCUAACUCCGUGCCAGCAGCCGCGGUAAUACGGAGGGUGCAAGCGUUAUCCGGAUUUAUUAGGUUUAAAGGGUGCGUAGGCGGAAGCUUAAGUCAGUGGUAAAAGGCAUUAGCUUAACUAAUGUAAGCCAUUGAAACUGGGUUUCUUGAGUUCGGUUGAGGUAGGCGGAAUGUGUUGUGUAGCGGUGAAAUGCAUAGAUAUAACACAGAACACCGAUUGCGAAGGCAGCUUACUAAGCCGUUAUUGACGCUGAUGCACGAAAGCGUGGGUAUCAAACAGGAUUAGAUACCCUGGUAGUCCACGCUGUUAACGAUGAUCACUCGUUGUUGGCGAUACACAGUCAGCGACUGAGCGAAAGCAUUAAGUGAUCCACCUGGGGAGUACGUUCGCAAGAAUGAAACUCAAAGGAAUUGACGGGGGCCCGCACAAGCGGAGGAACAUGUGGUUUAAUUCGAUGAUACGCGAG
Molecule: ribosomal RNA, 800 nt
Filed under: uncultured bacterium
Lineage: Bacteria
Description: bacterial SSU rRNA
Rfam family: Bacterial small subunit ribosomal RNA
Source: RNAcentral